GGAGGGAAGUCAGAAGGCAUUGGUGUGAAGUUACCAAAACGUUUAGAGUAAUACCCAGUCCUUGCAGAAGUUUCUGUAAAUCCAUAUUCCUGGGUAUAUAACAACUGACAGCAUCAGAGGUCACAUCUAAACAGGCCUCAGAAUAAUUGUAUUCAGUAAAACAAUUUCAACCAACAUGACAGACUCCGCUUUGCCAAUAGGAUUGCUCGCGACUUUUGUAAUAGCCUUCUGCAGAUCACAAGACAACACAACAUCUCAAACAGAGAAGUUUGAAGAAAACAAUGUUAUCUCAACAGCGCACUCUGCAUUGGAUCAAAACAAUUCUGAUUAUUCUUCUGCAAAUGCCAGCUUAAGCCAUUCAGAAAGAGUAACACCAUUUUUCAACAAAACAAAAGCAAUCGCCAAG
Molecule: long non-coding RNA, 406 nt
Organism: Amblyraja radiata (thorny skate)
Lineage: Eukaryota; Metazoa; Chordata; Chondrichthyes; Rajiformes; Rajidae
Exons: 3
Source: RefSeq, a predicted model, not a curated record